RNAcentral lists this long non-coding RNA (335 nucleotides) under Polistes fuscatus (common paper wasp). Its description in RNAcentral is "uncharacterized LOC122515198". The record is from RNAcentral. Lineage: Eukaryota; Metazoa; Arthropoda; Insecta; Hymenoptera; Vespidae.
CUUUACGGUUUCGAAUGUGUACGUGUGUGUGUGUAUCGAUGUGAAGCAGCUGUGCGUGGCUAUGUAUAUGUUAUCCAUUAGAAGAUACGUUGAAUAAAACAAAAAUCGUAUCGUAUUUAUUGAUCAAACGUUAUUUCGACGAAAGAAAAAAAGAAAUGAAAAUGUAUUAUUAAAUCGAAGAUCAUUCUAGAAGCGUAGUAAAACGUCCUUCGAGAAAGGGAACUGCGUAGUUCUCGGUUUCGCCCUUUUUUAGGCUACGUGGAAACUACGCAUUGGUUUUUGGCCCUGGUCACGUGAACAGUCGAAAGAAAGAAAGAAAAUAACGUGAGAGAAAA